Non-coding RNA from Mycena latifolia, 90 nucleotides. The record is from the annotation of a GenBank genome assembly. NCBI's taxonomy places the organism in Eukaryota, Fungi, Basidiomycota, Agaricomycetes, Agaricales, Mycenaceae.
GCGGGCGUGGUGCAUGGUGCACCGCUGCGAUCAAUUGCAUGAGGUUUCAUUUGUAGAGCAGCUGCUGGGGUUCGACUCCCCGCGUCCGCA